ACUCUACUAGGAUGAUGCACAAGAAAAGGUCA
RNAcentral lists this transfer RNA (32 nucleotides) under Phyllostachys flexuosa. Its description in RNAcentral is "partial tRNA-Phe". Lineage: Eukaryota; Viridiplantae; Streptophyta; Magnoliopsida; Poales; Poaceae. RNAcentral also lists the same sequence under 24 other names. The record is from RNAcentral.